GACGAACGCUGGCGGCGUGCUUAACACAUGCAAGUCGAACGGAAAGGCCCUGCUUUUGUGGGGUGCUCGAGUGGCGAACGGGUGAGUAACACGUGAGUAACCUGCCCUUGACUUUGGGAUAUCUUCAGGAAACUGGGGCUAAUACCGGAUAGGAGCUCCUGCUGCAUGGUGGGGGUUGGAAAGUUUCGGCGGUUGGGGAUGGACUCGCGGCUUAUCAGCUUGUUGGUGGGGUAGUGGCUUACCAAGGCUUUGACGGGUAGCCGGCCUGAGAGGGUGACCGGCCACAUUGGGACUGAGAUACGGCCCAGACUCCUACGGGAGGCAGCAGUGGGGAAUAUUGCACAAUGGGCGGAAGCCUGAUGCAGCAACGCCGCGUGCGGGAUGACGGCCUUCGGGUUGUAAACCGCUUUCGCCUGUGACGAAGCGUGAGUGACGGUAAUGGGUAAAGAAGCACCGGCUAACUACGU
Molecule: ribosomal RNA, 467 nt
Filed under: uncultured bacterium
Lineage: Bacteria
Description: partial 16S ribosomal RNA
Rfam family: Bacterial small subunit ribosomal RNA
Source: RNAcentral